RNAcentral lists this ribosomal RNA (253 nucleotides) under uncultured bacterium. Its description in RNAcentral is "partial 16S ribosomal RNA". It matches the Rfam family "Bacterial small subunit ribosomal RNA", at positions 524 to 776 of the family's 1533-position model. The record is from RNAcentral.
GACAGAGGGUGCAAGCGUUGUUCGGAAUUACUGGGCAUAAAGCGCACGUAGGCGGUUCGCUAAGUCUGUCGUGAAAUCCCCCGGCUCAACCGGGGAAUAGCGUCGGAUACUGGCGAGCUCGAGGUCGAUAGGGGUAAGUGGAACUCCAGGUGGAGCGGUGAAAUGCGUAGAUAUCUGAAGGAACAUCAGUGGCGAAAGCGACUUCCUGGACCAAUACUGACGCUCAUGUGCGAAAGCGUGGGGAGCAAACAGG